GUGAGCUGGGUUUAGACCGUCGUGAGACAGGUCGGUCCCUAUCUGGUGUGGGCGUAGGAUGAUUGAGGAGACUCUUUUCUAGUACGAGAGGAUUGAAAAGAACGUACCUCUGGUGUGCCAGUUGUCGCGCUAGCGGCAUCGCUGGGUAGCUAAGUACGGACCGGAUAAGCGCUGAAAGCAUCUAAGCGCGAAGCCAACUCCAAGACUGGUCAUCCCUGAGACACCUGGUAGACCACCAGGUUGAUAGGCCGGGAGUGUAAGGACAGUAAUGUCUUCAGCUGACCGGUACUAACCAGUCGAUCGG
Molecule: ribosomal RNA, 304 nt
Filed under: Gambierdiscus australes
Lineage: Eukaryota; Dinophyceae; Gonyaulacales; Pyrocystaceae
Description: partial Bacterial large subunit ribosomal RNA
Rfam family: Bacterial large subunit ribosomal RNA
Source: RNAcentral